CAUUAUCGUGUGACUACAACGAUCUUAUCGCCUGCAAAGAUCGCCUUCGGGUGGCGAGCAAAAACUCUCGUAGCCUGAAAGGGAGAGCAAGAAUUGUGGUACAUCUGCGCACUUUUGGAAGCAGAUAUUGCCGGACACAUAACCCACCGUCCGGCGAUGAAGGUUUAC
This 168-nucleotide small RNA is filed under the name Xenorhabdus mauleonii. RNAcentral describes it as "STAXI RNA". The stretch from base 1 to 133 matches the Rfam family "STAXI RNA". Lineage: Bacteria; Pseudomonadati; Pseudomonadota; Gammaproteobacteria; Enterobacterales; Morganellaceae. The record is from RNAcentral.